AGCUUGCUUCUAUGACGUUAGCGGCGGACGGGUGAGUAACACGUGGGCAACCUGCCUGUAAGACUGGGAUAACUUCGGGAAACCGAAGCUAAUACCGGAUAGGAUCUUCUCCUUCAUGGGAGAUGAUUGAAAGAUGGUUUCGGCUAUCACUUACAGAUGGGCCCGCGGUGCAUUAGCUAGUUGGUGAGGUAACGGCUCACCAAGGCAACGAUGCAUAGCCGACCUGAGAGGGUGAUCGGCCACACUGGGACUGAGACACGGCCCAGACUCCUACGGGAGGCAGCAGUAGGGAAUCUUCCGCAAUGGACGAAAGUCUGACGGAGCAACGCCGCGUGAGUGAUGAAGGCUUUCGGGUCGUAAAACUCUGUUGUUAGGGAAGAACAAGUACGAGAGUAACUGCUCGUACCUUGACGGUACCUAACCAGAAAGCCACGGCUAACUACGUGCCAGCAGCCGCGGUAAUACGUAGGUGGCAAGCGUUAUCCGGAAUUAUUGGGCGUAAAGCGCGCGCAGGCGGUUUCUUAAGUCUGAUGUGAAAGCCCACGGCUCAACCGUGGAGGGUCAUUGGAAACUGGGGAACUUGAGUGCAGAAGAGAAAAGCGGAAUUCCACGUGUAGCGGUGAAAUGCGUAGAGAUGUGGAGGAACACCAGUGGCGAAGGCGGC
RNAcentral lists this ribosomal RNA (664 nucleotides) under Priestia aryabhattai. RNAcentral's name for it is "bacterial SSU rRNA". It matches the Rfam family "Bacterial small subunit ribosomal RNA", at positions 77 to 725 of the family's 1533-position model. The record is from RNAcentral. Lineage: Bacteria; Bacillati; Bacillota; Bacilli; Caryophanales; Bacillaceae.